AUUUAGAAGCAGGGACGAUGAAGAGGAACCAGCAAACAAGACUGAAACAGAGCAACCCAAAAUACAGGAAGAAAACCAGAUGAGUUUGUGUCUUCAAAGCCAACUGAAGGAAGUUAUUAAGUUCAUCUUCUCCCAUGUGCCCCACUUUGAAGAGAGAGAAGUAGAGGCUCCAUGCGGCAGAAUUUUGGACCCCAGUCCUAGAAAACACACCUGAAGAUGUUUCGCAUUUUACAUUUGAAAGAACCUUGCCAGCACCCAAUCCUAAGGUAUGGGUUCUGCAGCUGAUUCAGAAGGCAUGCAGGUGCUCCAGGCUUGGACCAGGACCUUCACUUACAAAGUCACAGACUCCUCUGAGAAUCUAAUGAGAGCUUUGGAUCCUCCAUAUUCCCCCAAACAGUGUUCAUAUAAUGAAAAUAUUGCUGUAAGUUCACAGGAUUCACAGACACCCCCCUCCCAAGUUGCUCAUCCGUGGUUCUACUAAGGAGUUUCAAGUCUGGCUGUAGACUAAACCCAACAGCAAGAAGCCCACAAAGAAAAGGAAGUGACUCCUUCUUGUGAAAACCAUAGCAACUCUGAAGGCGAACACGCACUGUGCCUUCGAGAACCUCGCUCUAGCUCUGACGUCUGCAAGUGUAAUCUUCUGAGACUGAGUUGCUCUACAGAAAUUUCCCUCUCUUUUGUGGUUUUAAGAAACAUCUUGGGAGAAAUAAAAUCUAAUAGGCAACACAUGACCACGUUACCUUCAAUACUGUAUUCAUCUUUCGACAAUCUAAAUAAUUUUUUGAGAAGUUCUUGGAGGAAAACCCAAUUUUAUUUUUUCCAGAAUCUUUCCUGGAUCUUCACUCUCUGUUCUUCCACAUACAGACUAGAAGGCAGGAAUAGAUGGAGAAGCUGAACUUGAAGGCCAAGUCUAUCAUUUAAGAGGAGGAAGGGAACUUUGCAAAUUUUUGGUAUCUCGCUCAAGCCCUGAACUGAGCAUCAUCUAGAGGCUUUCCAACCUAUAAGCAUUUAUUGGAUGGUGUAGCAGUUGGAAACUCUGAGUGUCCACUGCAUAAGGGGACCCAGUCCUAUGGCAGAUGAGGAGAAAUACCAGAUAACCCAUCUCAGGACUAGAGAGAGCUACUCUUCUAAGUCUAUACUCUCCCAGGAGGGGGUCAAUAGGGUCUCUGCGUGGAUGAAGAAACAUAAUAUCUUCUGAGUAUAUUCUUAUUAUUAUUAUUAACGAUUGAUUUUUCUCAGGAAGUAAAU
This is a long non-coding RNA of Prionailurus viverrinus (fishing cat), 1248 nucleotides long. RefSeq lists it as uncharacterized. The transcript is spliced from 3 exons. The record is from RefSeq and is a predicted model, not a curated record. Lineage: Eukaryota; Metazoa; Chordata; Mammalia; Carnivora; Felidae.